Molecule: ribosomal RNA, 739 nt
Filed under: uncultured Bacilli bacterium
Lineage: Bacteria; Bacillati; Bacillota; Bacilli
Description: bacterial SSU rRNA
Rfam family: Bacterial small subunit ribosomal RNA
Source: RNAcentral
GACGAACGCUGGCGGCGUGCCUAAUACAUGCAAGUCGAACGCUUUUUCUUUCACCGGAGCUUGCUCCACCGAAAGAAAAGGAGUGGCGAACGGGUGAGUAACACGUGGGUAACCUGCCCAUCAGAAGGGGAUAACACUUGGAAACAGGUGCUAAUACCGUAUAACAAUCGAAACCGCAUGGUUUCGGUUUGAAAGGCGCUUUUGCGUCACUGAUGGAUGGACCCGCGGUGCAUUAGCUAGUUGGUGAGGUAACGGCUCACCAAGGCAACGAUGCAUAGCCGACCUGAGAGGGUGAUCGGCCACAUUGGGACUGAGACACGGCCCAAACUCCUACGGGAGGCAGCAGUAGGGAAUCUUCGGCAAUGGACGGAAGUCUGACCGAGCAACGCCGCGUGAGUGAAGAAGGUUUUCGGAUCGUAAAACUCUGUUGUUAGAGAAGAACAAGGAUGAGAGUAGAAUGUUCAUCCCUUGACGGUAUCUAACCAGAAAGCCACGGCUAACUACGUGCCAGCAGCCGCGGUAAUACGUAGGUGGCAAGCGUUGUCCGGAUUUAUUGGGCGUAAAGCGAGCGCAGGCGGUUUCUUAAGUCUGAUGUGAAAGCCCCCGGCUCAACCGGGGAGGGUCAUUGGAAACUGGGAAACUUGAGUGCAGAAGAGGAGAGUGGAAUUCCAUGUGUAGCGGUGAAAUGCGUAGAUAUAUGGAGGAACACCAGUGGCGAAGGCGGCUCUCUGGUCUGUAA